Molecule: ribosomal RNA, 468 nt
Filed under: uncultured bacterium
Lineage: Bacteria
Description: partial 16S ribosomal RNA
Rfam family: Bacterial small subunit ribosomal RNA
Source: RNAcentral
GACGAACGCUGGCGGCGUGCUUAACACAUGCAAGUCGAACGGAAAGGCCCUGCUUUUGUGGGGUGCUCGAGUGGCGAACGGGUGAGUAACACGUGAGUAACCUGCCCUUGACUGUGGGAUAACUUCAGGAAACUGGGGCUAAUACCGGAUAGGAGCUCCUGCUGCAUGGUGGGGGUUGGAAAGUUUCGGCGGUUGGGGAUGGACUCGCGGCUUAUCAGCUUGUUGGUGGGGUAGUGGCUUACCAAGGCUUUGACGGGUAGCCGGCCUGAGAGGGUGACCGGCCACAUUGGGCCUGCGAUACGGCCCAGACUCCUACGGGCGGCAGCAGUGGGGAAUAUUGCACAAUGGCCGGAAGCCUGAUGCAGCAACGCCGCGUGCGGGAUGACGGCCUUCGGGUUGUAAACCGCUUUCGCCUGUGACGAAGCGUGAGUGACGGUAAUGGGUAAAGAAGCACCGGCUAACUACGUG